CCUACGGGCGGCAGCAGUGAGGAAUAUUGGUCAAUGGCCGAGAGCCUGAACCAGCCAAGUCGCGUGAGGGAAGACGGCCCUACGGAUUGUAAACCUCUUUUGUCGGGGAGCAAAACGCGUCACGCGUAACGCAUUGAGAGUACCCGGAGAAAAAGCAUCGGCUAACUCCGUGCCAGCAGCCGCGGUAAUACGGAGGAUGCGAGCGUUAUCCGGAUUUAUUGGGUUUAAAGGGUGCGCAGGCGGAGGAGUAAGUCAGCGGUAAAAUUGCGGGGCUCAACCCCGUAAUGCCGUUGAAACUGCAUCCCUAGAGUGGGCGAGAAGUAUGCGGAAUGCGUGGUGUAGCGGUGAAAUGCAUAGAUAUCACGCAGAACUCCGAUUGCGAAGGCAGCAUACCGGCGCGCAACUGACGCUCAGGCACGAAAGCGUGGGUAUCGAACAGGAUUAGAUACCCGAGUAGUC
This 459-nucleotide ribosomal RNA is filed under the name uncultured bacterium. Its description in RNAcentral is "partial 16S ribosomal RNA". It matches the Rfam family "Bacterial small subunit ribosomal RNA", at positions 338 to 795 of the family's 1533-position model. The record is from RNAcentral.